RNAcentral lists this ribosomal RNA (465 nucleotides) under uncultured bacterium. Its description in RNAcentral is "partial 16S ribosomal RNA". It matches the Rfam family "Bacterial small subunit ribosomal RNA", at positions 28 to 507 of the family's 1533-position model. The record is from RNAcentral.
GACGAACGCUGGCGGCGUGCUUAACACAUGCAAGUCGAACGGAAAGGCCCUGCUUGCAGGGUACUCGAGUGGCGAACGGGUGAGUAACACGUGGGUGAUCUGCCCUGCACUUCGGGAUAAGCCUGGGAAACUGGGUCUAAUACCGGAUAGGAGCCAUUUUUAGUGUGAUGGUUGGAAAGUUUUUUCGGUGUAGGAUGAGCUCGCGGCCUAUCAGCUUGUUGGUGGGGUAAUGGCCUACCAAGGCGGCUACGGGUAGCCGGCCUGAGAGGGUGGACGGCCACAUUGGGACUGAGAUACGGCCCAGACUCCUACGGGAGGCAGAAGUGGGGAAUAUUGCACAAUGGGCGCAAGCCUGAUGCAGCGACGCCGCGUGGGGGAUGACGGCCUUCGGGUUGUAAACUCCUUUCGCUAGGGACGAAGCUUUUUGUGACGGUACCUAGAUAAGAAGCACCGGCUAACUACGUG